This is a long non-coding RNA of Gavialis gangeticus (Gharial), 1737 nucleotides long. RefSeq lists it as uncharacterized. The record is from RefSeq and is a predicted model, not a curated record. The transcript is spliced from 3 exons. NCBI's taxonomy places the organism in Eukaryota, Metazoa, Chordata, Crocodylia, Gavialidae.
UUCUCUUGCAGCCUUUUAGUGUGCUGAUCAGGCGAGCUUAGAGAUGGGGGAACAGGGAAAAAAAAACCAGAAAGGAAAGAGAACGAGAAGCCCAGGGCUCCAAAGCAGCUGAGGUGUCAAAGACAAAGAUUUAAUGAAUGUGCCUGCGGUUCACCUGAACAGAUGAGCACAAGCUAGAAGGAAAGAACGAAGUAAAUGGAAAAAAGAAAGGAUCAUUUUUCAGAUUGGCAGCUCCCCUCGCAGACAUCUUUUAACAAGAAAAAAAAAGGACUCCCAGCCUCGCUUUUAAAGGGCCAGCAUCGUUAUUCUGCUUUGUGGCGGCAGACGUCUAGAGGAAGCUAUUUAAUAAAACUAUAUUUAAUGCAAAAGGUUCCAAGCCAGCAGUCGCCUUCCUUUUUUCCUGCUCAUAAUUCCAGCUGAGGCUACACAAUGCAACUCAGGGAAGAGAGCAAAAGCAGCCAGAACCAUCCUCAGAAAUGCCUUGGUUUUGAGGGCAGUGAGACAUCCAGGCACUGUAAGGUGAAUGCUGAUGUUCCCGAAGGCGCCCAGAGCCAGGCCCAUCGCUCCGGUCCAAUCCAGGAUGCUGAGGUCCCAGUUACCUCCCCCCGUUUACUUACCCCCGCGACAACCUCAGCCACCGUAACCUGGAGGCAUGGGAUGAGAUAUAAUUUGGUCUGCGAGCAAGUUUGUUUGUGGGCCUUUCCUGAGCAAAGGCUGCCAAUUAUAUUCAAUGUGCUGAACUCUGUCAGAUUAGGUGCUUGUCAUGGAAAAGAGGAGGGUGCUUUUUUUCCCCCUUUUCUAUUUUAAUAGCAUUUCAGAGGGACCCUACAGACGCAUUUUGGGGGAUGGUGGUGAAUGCUGCUUGCAGGCAUCCUUCAUGUUUCUCUCCUUUCCCAUGCAACCUCCCCCAGACCCUCAUCCCCUCACAGAUCUCAUGCAUGACAUGCAUGCAGCUAUUCUGAACGCGUGACUGAUACAUGUGCACACCAUUGUUCUUUAUGGAACACAGUCAGUGCCACUCGACUCCUUGUCCUAAACCAGUCAUUCCCAGCCAGGUUCCUGUGGCACCCUGGUGUUCAGUGAGAGCCUUUUCAAUGUGCUGCGGGGCGCUGCGCAAUAUAGGCACUGUUAGGUGUGCAAAUACCAACACAUGAUUCACAAGAUAAACCCAGAGAUUUCAAAUAGGACUCCACUGUGUGAAAAGCAUCCCGACUUUUUGUGGCCUUUCCGAGUUCCCUGCAACAGAAAAGGGGCCCUAUUAUUUUUCUGUCAUCAAAAAACAAGUGAAAAUAGUUUUUGAAAUGGGGUGCCACUAAAUUCUGAAGAGCUAUAGAGAGGGGCCUCGAGUCUGAAAAGGUUGAGAACCGUUGUCCUAAACCCUCCAUUGCUUGCAGAGGUUCUGCUUCAGCUCAAGCAAUAGCAGGUUGGACUUGGGAGGAGGGAAGACCUCAGCUCUUUCCACGGUGUCACUACAAACUUCAUUGUGGCCAGAGUAUACAGCACGGCGACAGUUAAGAUUGGAGUUUUACAGUACAGCUGCAGAUUAAAUGCAUCAUCUUUCCCUUUGAUAUAAGGUGUGACCUGUGCCCAGAUAUAUCUGAACUAGACCCUGCUUUCUAAAUGAUCAGGGUUUGAUGUUCAUGCCAAAUAUAGGAAAAAAGGCCACCAAACUGGCCUAUCCAUUCCUUCCAGGUACAGUGCACACACCAACUGCAGAUGCUUCCUCAGCCUGACGAA